GGGUCCGGCAACGAGCGCAACCCUUAUCCUUUGUUGCCAGCACGUAAUGGUGGGAACUCAAAGGAGACUGCCGGUGAUAAACCGGAGGAAGGUGGGGAUGACGUCAAGUCAUCAUGGCCCUUACGAGUAGGGCUACACACGUGCUACAAUGGCAGAUACAAAGAGAAGCGACCUCGCGAGAGCAAGCGGAACUCAUAAAGUCUGUCGUAGUCCGGAUUGGAGUCUGCAACUCGACUCCAUGAAGUCGGAAUCGCUAGUAAUCGUAGAUCAGAAUGCUACGGUGAAUACGUUCCCGGGCCUUGUACACACCGCCCG
Molecule: ribosomal RNA, 315 nt
Filed under: Proteus mirabilis
Lineage: Bacteria; Pseudomonadati; Pseudomonadota; Gammaproteobacteria; Enterobacterales; Morganellaceae
Description: bacterial SSU rRNA
Rfam family: Bacterial small subunit ribosomal RNA
Source: RNAcentral